RNAcentral lists this ribosomal RNA (227 nucleotides) under Listeria monocytogenes. RNAcentral describes it as "partial 23S ribosomal RNA". It matches the Rfam family "Bacterial large subunit ribosomal RNA", at positions 1824 to 2050 of the family's 2925-position model. The record is from RNAcentral. Lineage: Bacteria; Bacillati; Bacillota; Bacilli; Caryophanales; Listeriaceae.
UGUGAAUAAGUGACAGGACGUAUUGGGGCUGUCGCCUGCCCGGUGCUGGAUGGUUAAGAGGUGUGCUUAGCUUCGGCGAUGGUACGAUUUGAAGCCCCAGUAAACGGCGGCCGUAACUAUAACGGUCCUAAGGUAGCGUUAUUCCUUGUCGGGUAAGUUCCGACCCGCACGAUUGGCGCAUCGAUCUGGGCACUGUCUCAACGUGAGACUCGGUGAAUUUAUAGUAC